Camellia sinensis is the source of this 590-nucleotide long non-coding RNA. RefSeq lists it as uncharacterized. The record is from RefSeq and is a predicted model, not a curated record. NCBI's taxonomy places the organism in Eukaryota, Viridiplantae, Streptophyta, Magnoliopsida, Ericales, Theaceae.
UUCAAAAUUCCUUUUCAUAUGUAUACAGACGGCGAGAGGGCGAGAGUGCGAAGGAGUUCAAAGGAGUGUUUGGGGUUCAAAGGACGAACGCGGCGGAGGCAGAUGAAGCACGACGGAGGACGGAGGACGAACGGGAAUCUGAGAAAAAAUAAUGGCUUCAUCUUCUAUUGAUUCUUGUCCGUUGUAGACUACGAACGACCACUGCAAUUACUUCAGGUGGUUCGCAGAUGAUGACGACGACGACGACGACGACAUUACCUCAUCAAUCCGUGCCAAUGUUGGACCUCCGACAGAUUCAAGAACAGAAGAAAUUAAUGAUUUAAGGAGAAGGGUUGGUGAGCAUGAUAGAAGGCUUAAAAGGAUUGAGAAGAUUUUCAAGGCAAUGACUUAUGUCAUUGUAUUUUGUGUAUUUUUGUACUUUAUCAUGUAAAUGACUCAGUUCUUAGGUUUUGGAAUUUUUUUUUGGUGCUUAAAAAUCUGAUGGUUUGCAAAAACAAGUGUGUAACAUGUUUGAUUGAGAUGAAAUGUUGAAUGAACAGUUUGUGAAAUCUAUUACUUCAGGUUGAAUGUUGUAUAACAGGUUUCUGAAA